UAGGGAAUCUUCCACAAUGGACGAAAGUCUGAUGGAGCAACGCCGCGUGAGUGAAGAAGGGUUUCGGCUCGUAAAACUCUGUUGUUAAAGAAGAACAUAUCUGAGAGUAACUGUUCAGGUAUUUGACGGUAUUUUAACCAGAAAGCCACGGCUAACUACGUGCCAG
RNAcentral lists this ribosomal RNA (166 nucleotides) under uncultured bacterium. RNAcentral's name for it is "partial 16S ribosomal RNA". It matches the Rfam family "Bacterial small subunit ribosomal RNA", at positions 355 to 511 of the family's 1533-position model. The record is from RNAcentral.